Molecule: ribosomal RNA, 497 nt
Filed under: uncultured bacterium
Lineage: Bacteria
Description: partial 16S ribosomal RNA
Rfam family: Bacterial small subunit ribosomal RNA
Source: RNAcentral
GAUGAACGCUGGCGGCGUCCCUAAUACAUGCAAGUCGAGCGAACAGACGAGGAGCUUGCUCCUCUGAUGUUAGCGGCGGACGGGUGAGUAACACGUGGAUAACCUACCUAUAAGACUGGGAUAACUUCGGGAAACCGGAGCUAAUACCGGAUAACAUGUUGAACCGCAUGGUUCAACAGUGAAAGACGGUUUUGCUGUCACUUAUAGAUGGAUCCGCGCCGCAUUAGCUAGUUGGUAAGGUAACGGCUUACCAAGGCAACGAUGCGUAGCUGACCUGAGAGGGUGAUCGGCCACACUGGAACUGAGACACGGUCCAGACUCCUACGGGAGGCAGCAGUAGGGAAUCUUCCGCAAUGGGCGAAAGCCUGACGGAGCAACGCCGCGUGAGUGAAGAAGGUCUUCGGAUCGUAAAACUCUGUUAUUAGGGAAGAACAAAUGUGUAAGUAACUAUGCACGUCUUGACGGUACCUAAUCAGAAAGCCACGGCUAACUACGUG